Oreochromis niloticus (Nile tilapia) is the source of this 1310-nucleotide long non-coding RNA. RefSeq lists it as uncharacterized. NCBI's taxonomy places the organism in Eukaryota, Metazoa, Chordata, Actinopteri, Cichliformes, Cichlidae. The record is from RefSeq and is a predicted model, not a curated record. The transcript is spliced from 3 exons.
UCUUAUGUAUUCUUCAGUAAUAUUAAGUUUUAAGUUUAGUUUCCAUGAAAUGUGUGAUGGCAAGAUGAGAAUUAGAAUAAUGAAUAGGAUUGUCAGAAUAUACACUCAGAGGCUAUAUACACACUUUAUUAGCUACAGCUGUUCAACUGCUCAUUAAUGCGCACAUUUAAUCAGCCACUUGGCAGCAACUCUGUUCAUUUAGGCAUCUCUGGUAAGUGGCAGUUCUGAGUAAAAAUAUUGACGCAAUGCAAGAAAUCAGAGGAGAAUUGCCAGAUUGUUUUGACCCAAUAGGAAUGCAAUUGUGACUAAAAUAACUUUGUAACAACCAAGCUGUGAAGAAGAGCAUCUGUGAAUGCCAGACACAUUGAACUUUAAAGGAGACUGGCUAUAGUGGUGGAAGACCACACUGUGUGCCACUCCGGGGAUCACUAAAUCUGAACAAUAGACGAAUGGAAAAACAUUGCCUGUUCCGAUGAAGCUGGAUUUCUGUUGUGACAUUUGAAUGACACUACUCAAAUGGGUCACCAGAUCUCAACCCAAUAGAGAACAUUUUGCAUGUGGUGGAGUGGGAGAUCUACAUCAUGCAUGUGCCCCUGACAAACCUGCAGCAACUGUGCGAUGCUAUCAUGACACUAUGGACCAAAAUCUGAGAAAUGUUUCCAGCACCUUGUUUAAUCUGAGCCACAAAAAAUUAAAAUGGUUCUGAAGGCCAAAGCGGAUCCAACCCAGUAAUAGCAAUGUGCCUAAUGACCACAAGAGGGCACUCUAACAGUUAAGAUCUGAACUCUGCAAUUUGCUCGGAUGUUAACAGCCUGGGUUCAGAUGGGGAGACUCCCUGUGCUCAUGCAGUCUGAGAUUAAUCCGGCUGUUGCUGUGCUAGUCGGCACCAUAUCACAGCUCGACAUUUCCAGUCCUCAUGAAUAAUGCAAACUCAAUGGUCCUGGUUCCUGCUAUCAUGGAGCCGAGGGCCCCAAUUUGUCACACUAUCCAAAAUAUGAUACACAUCCCAAACACGAGAGUCGAGAAGCUGCCUUCACAUCCGCACACUCACACAAAUGUACAGGCUGGUAAAUAAAGGUAUAAAUAUCUGUUUCCAUGCUCCAGUUCUGUGUCUAUUCUCAGCCUAUCAUAGAUAAAGAGAAACAGGAGGAUAGGGGAGAUGCAACUUUUUUUCUUUUUUUGCCAAAUUCCAAUACUGAGCCAUUUUUAAAUUGGUUUAAAUUAAACUGUCAAAAUGGCUACAAAGAUGCUUAAGUUGCCUGUGGUAUUUUGGUUAUUUAGCAUAUUUCUGAUGGGUCUCAAAGGGUCUG